This 261-nucleotide ribosomal RNA is filed under the name uncultured bacterium. RNAcentral describes it as "partial 16S ribosomal RNA". It matches the Rfam family "Bacterial small subunit ribosomal RNA", at positions 793 to 1050 of the family's 1533-position model. The record is from RNAcentral.
GUCCACGCCGUAAACGAUGUUCACUAGUUGCUGGAGGCCCUGGAGCCCUCAGUGACGUACCUAACGGAUUAAGUGAACCGCCUGGGGAGUACGGUCGCAAGAUUAAAACUCAAAGGAAUUGACGGGGACCCGCACAAGCGGUGGAGCAUGUGGUUUAAUUCGAAGCAACGCGCAGAACCUUACCUGGGUUUGACAUGGGGAGAAGUUUCGGUAAUGCGAAAUGUGCCCUUCGGGGAACUCCCGCACAGGUGCUGCAUGGCU